UGGGUUGACCAAAAAGUCUGUUUGGGUUUUCUAUAACAUCUUAUGGAAAAAGCCAAAUGGACUUUUUGGCCAACCCAAU
This 79-nucleotide microRNA precursor is filed under the name Ovis aries (sheep). Its description in RNAcentral is "miRNA (ENSOARG00000023995.1)". Lineage: Eukaryota; Metazoa; Chordata; Mammalia; Artiodactyla; Bovidae. The record is from RNAcentral.